This 74-nucleotide transfer RNA is filed under the name Steatornis caripensis (oilbird). Its description in RNAcentral is "tRNA-Ser". It matches the Rfam family "tRNA". From Rfam's summary of the family: Transfer RNA (tRNA) molecules are approximately 80 nucleotides in length. Their secondary structure includes four short double-helical elements and three loops (D, anti-codon, and T loops). Further hydrogen bonds mediate the characteristic L-shaped molecular structure. tRNAs have two regions of fundamental functional importance: the anti-codon, which is responsible for specific mRNA codon recognition, and the 3' end, to which the tRNAs corresponding amino acid is attached (by aminoacyl-tRNA synthetases). tRNAs cope with the degeneracy of the genetic code in two manners: having more than one tRNA (with a specific anti-codon) for a particular amino acid; and 'wobble' base-pairing, i.e. permitting non-standard base-pairing at the 3rd anti-codon position. Lineage: Eukaryota; Metazoa; Chordata; Aves; Caprimulgiformes; Steatornithidae. RNAcentral also lists the same sequence under 2 other names. The record is from RNAcentral.
AAGAAAGAAGCAUGAGUGGUUUAAUGCGGUUGGCUUGAAACCAAUGUAUGAGGGUUCGAUUCCUUCCUUUCUUG